GGAGAAUUUAGAAAUAAGCUAAUUAAAAUCUUAAUUAAAAUAAUUAAAAAAUAAUGUAAUUAAUUACGACGCUUUGGAAGCGACGUCAAGAUAUUUGUUUAUUGGCGACAUUUAAUCAUAGCGUCAGCAUAUAUCAAGUAUUAAAGACGUUAGAAUAAAGCGUCGUCUAAAAAGCAUCGGUAAAAAUAUAUUUUGUUGUAGUGUUGGCUACCAAAUCUUUUAAUUUAUUUGAUUUGAGUUAGUCUAUGCCAUAUUGAUAAGUUAAUUUUAAAAAUUAAAAUUAAAAUUUUAAUUUAAUUAAUAAUAAUUUGUAAUUUAUUUAUUUAUUUAAGUUAAAUUUAAUUAAUUUUUAAAAAAUAAAUGAAAAUAAUUAAUAGAUAAACACUAAUUAAUAAAGCUCUUGAAUUUAAAAAUUUAACUAAAUUAACUAGAAUAAAAUUAUCAAAAAAAGUUGGGAGAUGUUAAUCAAAAUAAAAUUAAAAUUCAUAGAGCAAUUUCAAAAUGAUCUGAAGUUAAAGGUGUAUCUGUACAUUUUCACCCUUAAUUUUUAACACCUACAGUUUUUUCAUCUUCACUAUACAUUAUUUUGAUAUAAAUUUUUUAAAUAUUUUAUUUCUAUUGUAAUUUUAUUAAUAAUAUGCGUCAAUUUUUUUUAUCAUCACUAUAGCUAACCAAAUAGUGACAAAAAAUUAGUCAUUUAGUGGCGACAGUAGUAUUGCCACUUAAAGUUAAUUAAUUGGUGGCAAAAUUUUUUAUCGCCACUUAAAGUUAAUUAAUUGGUGGCAAAAUUUUUUUUAUCGCCACUUAAAGUUAAUUAAUUGGUGGCAAAAUUUUUUUAUCGCCACUAUAGGUAACCAAAUAAUGGCGAUAAAAUAAUCAUUUAGUGGCGAAAGUAAUAUUGCCACUUUAAAUUAAUUAAUCAGUGGCAAUUUUUUUUAUCACCAUUAUAAAUAAUGAUUUAGUGGCAAUAAAAUAAUUAUUUAGUGGCGAAAGUAGUGUCACCACUUUAUGUUAAUUAAUCAGUGGCCAUUUAUUUUAUCGCCACAGUAGAUAACUAAAUAGUGGCGAUAAAAUAAUCAUUCAAUGGCGAAAGUAGUAUUGCCACUUUUAGUUAACUAAUCGGUGGCAAUUUUUUUUAUUGCCAUAAUAAGUAACUAUAUAGUGGCGACAAAAUUUAUCGCCACACUAUUUUGGCCACCAAUACCGUCAUUUCUUGUAGUGUAUCAAGAAUAAAUCAUAUGAAAAAGUUUUCAUUUGGUAGUAAUUAUUAUCCAAUAACUUGUUUCAAAUAUCUAAACAUAGAAUUUGACAUAAACCAAAAAUUAUCUCUCUCUCUCUCUCUCUCUAGAGAUAUUUGGUAACUAAUUAUAUAAAGAUUUUAAUAAAGUGUAAAUAUAAGUCUAUAAACUUUUAUUUCUAAAUUUUCGCUUUUAAAAUAUGGUGAAUGAUUUACCUUUUAAGAAAGCAACGCUAAAAUCAUUCACCAUAUUCACAUAAAAUGUUAAUUCUUUAAGUUUGAACUCCGCGCAUGUAUAUUGCUUUUAAAAGUAAUAAAUAAUUCACCAAUUUUAUGAGUAUUCCCUAAUAAUUUUAAUAUUUUGAAUAAAGUCGCAAACGAUUUGCCAUAUUUAGAAAGUGGUGAUUCCUUCGUCGUUUUUUUGGGGACUUAUGUAACAUAGUUUAGACUUAAUUUUGCAAAUAUUUUU
This 1706-nucleotide long non-coding RNA is filed under the name Ananas comosus (pineapple). RNAcentral describes it as "long non-coding RNA (ACOM_LNC020123)". The record is from RNAcentral. Lineage: Eukaryota; Viridiplantae; Streptophyta; Magnoliopsida; Poales; Bromeliaceae.